UAAGCGGAGGAAAAGAAACUAACAAGGAUUCCCCUAGUAACUGCGAGUGAAGCGGGAAAAGCUCAAAUUUAAAAUCUGGCGGUCUUAGGCCGUCCGAGUUGUAAUUUAGAGAAGCGUCUUCCGCGCCGGACCGUGCACAAGUCUCCUGGAAUGGAGCGUCAUAGAGGGUGAGAAUCCCGUCUUUGGCACGGAUGCCUGGUGCUUCUGUGAUGCGCUCUCGAAGAGUCGAGUUGUUUGGGAAUGCAGCUCAAAAUGGGUGGUGAACUCCAUCUAAAGCUAAAUAUUGGCGAGAGACCGAUAGCGAACAAGUACCGUGAGGGAAAGAUGAAGAGCACUUUGGAAAGAGAGUGAAACAGUACGUGAAGUUGUUGAAAGGGAAACGCUUGAAGUCAGUCGCGUCGACCGAGACUCAGCCUUGCCUCGGCUUGGUGUACUUCUCGGCCCGACGGGUCAGCGUCAAUUUUGCUCCUCGGAUAAUGGCAAGGGAAAGGUGGCACCUUUACGGGUGUGUUAUAGUCUCCUGUCGCAUGCGAGGGGUGGGAUUGAGGAACUCAGCGCGCACCUUGGUGUCGGGGCUUCUGCCUACGUCACGCGCUUAGGAUGCUGGCGUAAUGGCUUUAAACGACC
RNAcentral lists this ribosomal RNA (627 nucleotides) under uncultured Russulaceae. RNAcentral describes it as "LSU rRNA". It matches the Rfam family "Eukaryotic large subunit ribosomal RNA", at positions 47 to 649 of the family's 3401-position model. The record is from RNAcentral. Lineage: Eukaryota; Fungi; Basidiomycota; Agaricomycetes; Russulales; Russulaceae.